Molecule: non-coding RNA, 73 nt
Organism: Trichonephila inaurata madagascariensis
Lineage: Eukaryota; Metazoa; Arthropoda; Arachnida; Araneae; Nephilidae
Source: the annotation of a GenBank genome assembly
GUCCCUGUAGCGCAAUGGAUAGUGUGUUGGAAUUCUAAUCCAAAGGUCGUGGGUUCAAAUUCUACUUGGGAUA